Molecule: unclassified non-coding RNA, 191 nt
Filed under: air metagenome
Description: partial contains small subunit ribosomal RNA, internal transcribed spacer 1, and 5.8S ribosomal RNA
Rfam family: Eukaryotic small subunit ribosomal RNA (bases 1-46)
Source: RNAcentral
AAGUCGUAACAAGGUUUCCGUAGGUGAACCUGCGGAAGGAUCAUUAGUGAAUUGCUCUUUGAGCGUUAACUAUAUCCAUCUACACCUGUGAACUGUUGAUUGAUUUCGGUCAAUUACUUUACAAACAUUGUGUAAUGAACGUCAUGUUAUUAUAACAAAAAUAACUUUCAACAACGGAUCUCUUGGCUCUC